This 477-nucleotide long non-coding RNA is filed under the name Ananas comosus (pineapple). Its description in RNAcentral is "long non-coding RNA (ACOM_LNC043063)". The record is from RNAcentral. Lineage: Eukaryota; Viridiplantae; Streptophyta; Magnoliopsida; Poales; Bromeliaceae.
CUGUGGCGAGAGGCCGGGUUGGGUCAAGUCACGUUCAAAAUGGCGUGAGGCUUGGUAGACCGAGUCAUGUUCGAAGUGGCGUGAGGCCGGGCAGGUCAAGUCACAAUUGAGACCCGCCGGCGCUGUAUCUGUACGCUUUAAGUGAAUUGGUUGCGUAUUUCUAACAGCUCUAGUUUUUGAGAUUAAUGGUUAGCGCUAACGAUUCGACAAGUGGUAUCAGCGCUAGUGGGCAUGGGUUCGAUUCCCGCAUGCUGCAAAUGUUUUCAGGUAUCGGAAAGGAGAUUGUUGGCUUAAAUGGGCUGGGUAGGCCAAGUCACAAUUGAGAUCCAUGGGCUCUGUAUUUGUACGUUUUAAGUGAAUUGGUUGUGUAUUUCUAAUAGCUCGAGCUUUUGGGAUUAAUGGUUAGCGCCAACGAUCCAACAAUCUCUAGCCAGGAUCGAAAGCUGAACUUUCCGAUGACAGGCUAGGAUUUUGGGC